This 386-nucleotide long non-coding RNA is filed under the name Triticum aestivum (bread wheat). RNAcentral's name for it is "long non-coding RNA (TAES_LNC009957)". The record is from RNAcentral. Lineage: Eukaryota; Viridiplantae; Streptophyta; Magnoliopsida; Poales; Poaceae.
UUUAGUAUCUUGAACCUUAUUGCCAAUUCUUCUGCAUAAUAGUUGAUGAAAACUUGCAGGAUUUUUAGUUUUUUGUUUUCUUUCCAUUUUCAUGUGUUUACCAAUUUUAUACUCCCUCCGUCUCAUUAGCUGUCGCUGAAAUUGAUGUAUCUAGACAACUAAUAUGAGACAGAGGAAACAUAGCUUACCAAUUAUUUUAGAGCUCUGAGCUCAAAAGCAUUUAAAAAGCUUGUUUUCCCAUACAAGCUGCACACAGAGAGGCAUUUGGUUUUAUCUUAAGCUAGAUAGCGUAAAAAAAAGCUUAGAUAAAACCUGCAAUUAUAUUAUGCUUUCGCAAACAGCUUUAAGAUUUUCUUUUUAAAAAUAUAUAUCAUCUGCUAUGUAGG